GAUGAACGUUGGCGGUACGCCUAAUACAUGCAAGUCGAACGGAGAUUGUAGCAAUACUGUCUUAGUGGCGAACGGGUGAGUAACGCGUUGGUGAUCUGCCUCGAAGUGUGGAAUAACGGUUCGAAAGAACCGCUAAUACCGCAUAGUCUCUCUUAUUUUAGAAAUUUGAGAGUAAAGGAGUAAUCCGCUUUGAGAGGAGCCUGCGUCCCAUCAGCUAGUUGGUAGGGUAAAAGCCUACCAAGGCUAUGACGGGUAGGGGACCUGAGAGGGUGACCCCCCACAAUGGAACUGAAACACGGUCCAUACACCUACGGGUGGCAGCAGUAGGGAAUAUUAGUAAUGGAGGAAACUCUGAACUAGCGAUACCGCGUGUGCGAAGAAGGCCUUCGGGUUGUAAAGCACUUUUUGAGAGGAUGAGGAAGGACGGUACUCUCAGAAUAAGUCUCGGCUAACUACGUG
This 459-nucleotide ribosomal RNA is filed under the name uncultured bacterium. RNAcentral describes it as "bacterial SSU rRNA". It matches the Rfam family "Bacterial small subunit ribosomal RNA", at positions 28 to 507 of the family's 1533-position model. The record is from RNAcentral.